UACUCUGAGUGAUGCCCGCUAAGGGCAUCUUUUGGCACCUCUAAAAAUGGUGCCAAAUAAGGGGUGGGCAAGUCUGGUGCCAGCAGCCGCGGUUNANACCAGGAC
RNAcentral lists this ribosomal RNA (105 nucleotides) under uncultured archaeon. Its description in RNAcentral is "partial 16S ribosomal RNA". It matches the Rfam family "Archaeal small subunit ribosomal RNA", at positions 377 to 482 of the family's 1478-position model. The record is from RNAcentral.